ACACUGCUAAGUCACAUUAACUCUUUCAAAAAAGAGGAAAUACACCAGUAUACCAUAAAAUUACUGUCUGUCAAAAUAUCAACAAUGAAUUUGUACAUGUGUGUUUUGUGUACAUAUCAAUAACAACUAUUUUCUACAUUACAAAUGAGGCUAAUUUUGCCAUUUGUUGUAUCUGUCCAUGCACAACAGCACUGCCCCUUCACUGUAACAAGCUUCAACUGACUACUUCAAGACAUUUUACCACAUUUGCCUGUUUGUUAGUUGCGCGUCUUUCUUCCUUUGUUACCUGCAGGUAUCCAUAGACAAGGUAAAAGAGGAAGACUCCCGCCACACAAAUGAAAAACUGUGUGGGAGCACUGAAGCUGCUCAGGUUGAUUCCCAGAACCCUCAGCUCCUCCACAGACUUUAUGUGGGGCGACAUCACUUCCGUGGACGACGGGAUGGAGAUCGAAAUGUGCUUCCGUGAACUGUUGUAGCCCACCAGGCCAUAUUUGGCACUCAUUGUGUUUUUGGCUACUGGGAGCUGUGGGAACAUAAAGAGUGAUAAACAAGGACAAACACGCUGAGGAAGGGUGUUAGCCCGCUAGAGGUAGCCCCGGCACUCGCUGCAGUCGAGUCGCACAGGCAGCCAACAACUUCCGGUCUGCUGCGACCUCUGAACUGUGACGCUAUUGGUCCACCCAGCUGCACGCUACAGCAGGACGGCAUCCUCGAUGGUUCCAAUUUCCAGCCCAUUCCCCAAUUUUCAACCCCAGUGACAGACAACACACGCUGGAAUGUCUGUCUAGCUAAAGAAGGGAAUUGGUAAGUGAUGAUUGUCAAUGCUGUUUAAGAUAAAAACAAAGAGAAGGAGAGUUUGCAGCAGAUAAGGAUUCGCCUGCAUGGGUAGAGAGCGGGAAGCUCGGAGAUACUGGUUUGAAUGCGCUGCCGUUGUAGCCUCAUACCACGUGUGUGAUUUAUGUUACCUAGCGUAAGGAAAAACCACUGCUGUAGACUACUGUUAGAUUGACAUGAAGGACAAACUGCUUUUUUUUUUUUACCUCUGUGGAAGUUCAUUUUAUCAAGAAGAUUCAUGUGUGUGGUAAACAAUGUAAAAAUCAACAACAAAACAAAGUAUGUUGGAAGAGAGCUCUCAAAAAUAGUUGUUUACGUACAGAAACUGUGGCUGCAUUUGCAACAAUAUGUUCUUAAUAGCUUCAAAUUAAAUAAAAUAAAAAAAAACUAGUCUGUUGAUUCAAUAUGUAAUUCUAUUUAAAUUAAAAAAACAAAUAAAAAAGACAACUAGGUCUAACCCUUAAUCAAAGAAUUUUUUAUUUUUUUUAAAUUGUAAAAGAACUGAGUGUCAUGUGUGCCGAUGGUGCCCAACAAGAUCAGAAUAUUGACUUGAUUUGACUAACCUCUGGGGCGUGGAAAAUGCGUCCAGCAUGAAGGACUUUUUGUUGGUUGAAAAAAGCGUCUCAUUGUUGCACUUUAAGUGGUUUGUGUAAUCCCCUAUAACCAGUGCCAUGAAGCCAAAGGAUUCUGAAAAUCUGUUUUCAGCACAUUUUGAGUCGAAGCGAACCUGGAAAUUCUCUCCCUCUCUUUUCCCAAACCCUGUCAUGAAACAGAGCACCCCCAUUUCCAUAUCAAACGGAUUAGUUCCAAGACCAGGGAAGUAGGAGUAAUGUAAGUAACCGUACAAAUUUAAAUAUAGGACAUCAAAAACAUUGUUAAGCAUUGAUUUAUUUUUAAGCUGCCCUGACUUUCUGUGUCUCUCCGUGAAGAUGAGAUGAAAAUGUAUCUCCCCCGAUUUUAUUUUCAUUUCAUUUUGAAAAGGUGCUGAACACCGCAGUAUUUCAACAUUUCAUGUGCACCAAGGUGUCCUGCUGUGCUUGUGUGCUUAACCGCGCUGGUGAAAUGAAUAUGUCACAUUAAGCAAUGCACUUAAAAGCAACAUCACAACGAUUUCAGGUGGGCUGUGUUCGUGCAAGCUCAUUGUUGUUGGACAUUUCUGCAAAAUAUUCUGUAUAAUGGCUCCUGUGCCACUGACGGCAGCUGGAACUUCACACUCGCCACUCAACAUGAGAUUCAUAAUGUAUGUAAGUGUUGAAGCAUUUCCAUAUGUACAGGUUUUUGGCGUUUUGUGUACUGAUGGAAAAAAUUAUUUAAUGAGUCAGCUAUUAUAUUAAAUUCUUAUAAUGAAAUAAAAUGUUGUUACCGCAAUUAUAGGAAAAAAGUAUACUUCGCUGAGUGAAGAGAGACAUAGUAUGAAUAGCAAUUAACCAUUUUAAUAGAGGGUACAUCCCAAUAACAGGUUUGCCUUUUAAAUUGUGUGUGUGCUAGUGUGUGUGUGUGUGUGUGUGUGUGUGUGUGUGUGUGUGUGUGUGAGUUGCAGAUAUAAUUCAGCACUGUGUCUUGCUCACUGAUCUGACCUGGCAGGAGCUCCCUGUCCGGAAGAAGAGAUGGACAGAUGGAUGCCGACUGGGCUUCCGCAGCCCUUUAUGACUUAGCCUGUCCCCCUGUAAUUGAAAAAAAUAGCUUGGCCUUGUUGUUUUGGGAUUUGUCCCUUCAUAAUGUAGCUUGAAAACAGGAAAACCAAUAGUGGGAAUAGACCCCCAAAUAUAAUUAAUUUUGUGGG
Scophthalmus maximus (turbot) is the source of this 2617-nucleotide long non-coding RNA. RefSeq lists it as uncharacterized. NCBI's taxonomy places the organism in Eukaryota, Metazoa, Chordata, Actinopteri, Pleuronectiformes, Scophthalmidae. The record is from RefSeq and is a predicted model, not a curated record. The transcript has 3 exons.